GUGGAGGCUAUAUACAGGGGUACCGGUACAGAGUCAAUGUGGAGGCUAUAUACAGGGGGUACCGGUACAGAGUCAAUGUGGAGGCUAUAUACAGGGGGUACCGGUACAGAGUCAAUGUGGAGGCUAUAUACAGGGGUACCGGUACAGAGUCAAUGUGGAGGCUAUAUACAGGGGGUACCGGUACAGAGUCAAUGUGGAGGUUAUAUACAGGGGGUACCGGUACAGAGUCAAUGUGGAGGCUAUAUACAGGGUGUACCAGUACAGAGUCAAUGUGGAGGCUAUAUACAGGGGGUAACGGUACAGAGACAAUGUGGAGGCUAUAUACAGGGGUACUGGUACAGAGUCAAUGUGGAGGCUAUAUACAGGGGGUACCGGUACAGAGUCAAUGUGGAGGCUAUAUACAGGGGGUACCGGUACAGAGUCAAUGUGGAGGCUAUAUACAGGGG
This is a long non-coding RNA of Oncorhynchus tshawytscha (Chinook salmon), 446 nucleotides long. The record is from Ensembl. Lineage: Eukaryota; Metazoa; Chordata; Actinopteri; Salmoniformes; Salmonidae.